Long non-coding RNA from Homo sapiens (human), 1769 nucleotides. RefSeq lists it as uncharacterized. Lineage: Eukaryota; Metazoa; Chordata; Mammalia; Primates; Hominidae. The record is from RefSeq and is a predicted model, not a curated record. The transcript is spliced from 4 exons.
ACUCUGCCCCUGGCUCCACAGCCCCUGGGGUCCUGGCUGCCCUGGGGGAGUUUGAGGCCCCCAGUAGCAGCUACGGCUGGGGCCCCGGACAAACUGGGGGUGUAGGAGCUCUAGGAAAUCAACCCCAGGGAGGCUGCUACGGCUAAACAGAAGCAUCAGCCCCAACCCAGCAGGGCCAGAUGUUCUGCUCUCCCUCCCCCAGUUUCGGCUGCCGGGAGGGUCCCCACCGAGAGUCCCCCCCGACUCCUGCACAGGCCUAGCCACAGGCUCCCUCCCGGGCUGGACCGACCACUCUCCUGCUUGAGGUCCCAGAGAGGCGCUGGCCUGGCCCGGCCCAUGUGCCCCACAAACACCCCUGGCUGCUCCUCCGGCAUCUGUCUUAAAGUGCCAGCCCAGCGUGAGCCCCGCAUCAGCUACCGAGAGGUAUCCAUCCUUACCCCCGACUGCCCAUGGUGCCUACGCGGCAACCUCACAACCGGUCUGCUGAGCUGGGUGGAGGAGAGGUUCCACCCACCCCAGAAGGAGUCCACUCCCAUCCCCUAAACUCCAGGAGCUGCCCUUGGCUGAGGAAGGACUGCAGAGGGCACGGGGCAGGCUGAGCCCAGGGUGGCAGGGGCUGCAUGGUGCCCGGGAUGCCUGGCAGGAGAGAGACCCGCAGCCCAGAAGGCUUCCUCUCCAGGACUGGGGGCCCCUCAGUGCUCACACUUCCCACUAACUGCCAGCAUCCCCUACAACAUGGCCCACGUCUCAAGGGAUUGGAAGGAGCCCCCGCAGAGGCCAUCGGCACGGACUAGAAUGCAACCCAGUGGGGCAUCCACCGAUGUGGUCAAACGCUCAGCCAAGAUGGUGGGAAGCGUUCAGACAGAAGUAACUUCUAAAACAUUGCUAGGGAAACGCUCUGACAUCUUCCGUAGAGGUGAAAAAGCACAGGUCUGACUCAGGUAGCUGCGAGUUCAAGUUCAGCCGCAGGCUCUUCCCCAAGGUGCUGGUCUUCGCAGGAACCCCUUGCAGGCAGCUGCAAAGAGCAGCACGGCGCGCACACACAGGGUCCGGCUGGCGUCUGGCCAGAGCAAGGGAACAGUAAGUGUGUCCUGGAGGCGCUCGCCAUGCACUCACACGCCAUCUGUGGAUUCGGAAGUGACCUCCCCCUCGGUUGAUGAGGGUUCUCUGCGUCUGGAGAACACAGGACGUCCACAGGAAAGUUCUCCCUCCUGCACUCCCGGCUGGCUCUGAAAAUUAUGAAGGCAGAGACGUCCGUGCCUGAUACUGUCCUGGCAGCCACGUGCCCUCAUACACUUGCCCAGACCCUGAAUGUGCUACACGGAGUGACCCCAAUUACACCGUGGGCCCCGGGUGACUGCGACAUCUCUCUUUUCCUUAAAAUAAAGGCUCUAAAAUUGUGUGAUUCCACCUCCCUGAGGCUAAGCGAAAGAGCCGCGUCUGCCCCUGUCCUUCCCGGGGGCUGGCAGGGAGUGGGUGCCCGGCGGUGACUCAGCCCUGCAGCCUCCCAGCCCUUCCCCGUAUGCGGGCAGGUGAUGCGGACGCCUCCGACCCUCGUGGGGUUUGUGGAGAGCGUUGAUCAGCGCUGCCGUCAGAACAGGACCUGUGCGAGGCCUCGCAGAUGCCGGGAGCCGGGCGGUGCUCUCGGUGCUUCUCAUCAAAUCCACUGGCUCUUCGAGAGGAAGCACAUGUCACAGCCCAGCUCAAACAAGAAGCAAGAAAAUCACUCUUCAUUUUGGAAUUGUAAAAUAAAGUAGAAAUUAUCCUCA